This 81-nucleotide transfer RNA is filed under the name Bacteroidia bacterium. RNAcentral describes it as "tRNA-Tyr". It matches the Rfam family "tRNA". Rfam says of the family: Transfer RNA (tRNA) molecules are approximately 80 nucleotides in length. Their secondary structure includes four short double-helical elements and three loops (D, anti-codon, and T loops). The record is from RNAcentral. Lineage: Bacteria; Pseudomonadati; Bacteroidota; Bacteroidia.
GGGGAGAUUCCAGAGCGGUCAAAUGGGAUGGACUGUAAAUCCAUUGCUUCGGCUUCGAAGGUUCGAAUCCUUCUCUCCCCA